GGAUCAAUUUAUUGGUCGUGCUAUUGGUAUUAUUGGUUCCUACCUUCUGACGAACCAUGAUGUCAUUAAUUUGGUGUCAUGGGGAAUCAGGACUGUUACUUUGAAAAAAUUAGAGUGUUUAAAGCAGGCAUUUUGCUUGAAUACAUUAGCAUGGAAUAAUAAAAUAGGACGGCAUGAUUC
Molecule: ribosomal RNA, 180 nt
Filed under: uncultured Glomeromycotina
Lineage: Eukaryota; Fungi; Glomeromycota
Description: partial small subunit ribosomal RNA
Rfam family: Eukaryotic small subunit ribosomal RNA
Source: RNAcentral